RNAcentral lists this non-coding RNA (66 nucleotides) under unclassified sequences. Its description in RNAcentral is "L2-Alphaproteobacteria ribosomal protein leader". It matches the Rfam family "L2-Alphaproteobacteria ribosomal protein leader". The record is from RNAcentral.
GGCCACCUCAGGGGGCUUUACCAUUGGCAGAGUAUUACUUUGCCGUACAAGCAACGGAGACAGAAA